RNAcentral lists this transfer RNA (75 nucleotides) under Stegodyphus mimosarum. It matches the Rfam family "tRNA". From Rfam's summary of the family: Transfer RNA (tRNA) molecules are approximately 80 nucleotides in length. Their secondary structure includes four short double-helical elements and three loops (D, anti-codon, and T loops). The record is from Rfam by way of RNAcentral. Lineage: Eukaryota; Metazoa; Arthropoda; Arachnida; Araneae; Eresidae.
GCCUUCGUGGUGUAAUAACGGUUAGCAUACUCGACGCGUAUUCGAGAGAUCCAGGUUCGAGUCCUAGAGAGGGCA